AUUGAACGCUGGCGGCAGGCCUAACACAUGCAAGUCGAACGGUAACAGGAAGCAGCUUGCUGCUUUGCUGACGAGUGGCGGACGGGUGAGUAAUGUCUGGGAAACUGCCGAUUGAGGGGGAAAACCACUGGAAACGGGAGCUUAUACCGCAUAACCUCCCAAGGCCAAAGGGGGGGGCCUUAGGGGCCUCUGCCAUCGGAAGUGUCCAGGUGGGUUUAGCUAGUAGGGGGGGUAACGGCUCACCUAGGCGACGAUCCCUAGCUGGUCUGAGAGGAUGACCAGCCACACUGGAACUGAGACACGGUCCAGACUCCUACGGGAGGCAGCAGUGGGGAAUAUUGCACAAUGGGCGCAAGCCUGAUGCAGCCAUGCCGCGUGUAUGAAGAAGGCCUUCGGGUUGUAAAGUACUUUCAGCGGGGAGGAAGGGAGUAAAGUUAAUACCUUUGCUCAUUGACGUUACCCGCAGAAGAAGCACCGGCUAACUCCGUG
RNAcentral lists this ribosomal RNA (489 nucleotides) under uncultured bacterium. RNAcentral describes it as "partial 16S ribosomal RNA". It matches the Rfam family "Bacterial small subunit ribosomal RNA", at positions 30 to 507 of the family's 1533-position model. The record is from RNAcentral.